UACGGUUACCUUGUUACGACUUCACCCCAGUCGCUGACCUUACCGUGGCCUGCUGCCUCUAAAAGUUAGCACACAGUCUUCGGGUAAAACCAACUCCCAUGGUGUGACGGGCGGUGUGUACAAGGCCCGGGAACGUAUUCACCGUGGCAUGCUGAUCCACGAUUACUAGCGAUUCCAACUUCAUGCUCUCGAGUUGCAGAGAACAAUCCGAACUGAGACGGCUUUUAGAGAUUAGCUCCUCAUCGCUGAGUGGCUGCUCACUGUCACCGCCAUUGUAGCACGUGUGUAGCCCGGCCCGUAAGGGCCAUGAUGAUUUGACGUCAUCCCCACCUUCCUCCGGCUUAUCACCGGCAGUCCCUCUAGAGUGCCCAACUUAAUGCUGGCAACUAAAGGCGAGGGUUGCGCUCGUUGCGGGACUUAACCCAACAUCUCACGACACGAGCUGACGACAACCAUGCAGCACCUGUAUCCAAUCCAGCCGAACUGAAGGAAAGCAUCUCUGCUAUCCGCGAUUGGUAUGUCAAGGGCCGGUAAGGUUCUUCGCGUUGCCUCGAAUUAAACCACAUGCUCCACCGCUUGUGCGGGCCCCCGUCAAUUCCUUUGAGUUUUAGUCUUGCGACCGUAGUCCCCAGGCGGGGUGCUUUACGCGUUAGCUGCGUCACCAAACAGCAUGCUGCCUGACAACUAGCACCCAUCGUU
RNAcentral lists this ribosomal RNA (699 nucleotides) under uncultured bacterium. Its description in RNAcentral is "partial 16S ribosomal RNA". The record is from RNAcentral.